UACGUAGGUGGCAAGCGUUGUCCGGAUUUACUGGGUGUAAAGGGCGUGUAGGCGGGAAAUUAAGUCAGAUGUGAAAGUCCAUGGCUCAACUGUGGGAGUGCAUCUGAAACUGAUUUUCUUGAGUACUGGAGAGGAAAGCGGAAUUCAAGUGUAGCGGUGAAAUGCGUAGAGAUUUGGAGGAACACCAGUGGCGAAGGCGGCUUUCUGGACAGUAACUGACGCUGAGGCGCGAAAGCGCGGGUAGCAAACAGG
This 252-nucleotide ribosomal RNA is filed under the name uncultured bacterium. RNAcentral describes it as "partial 16S ribosomal RNA". It matches the Rfam family "Bacterial small subunit ribosomal RNA", at positions 524 to 776 of the family's 1533-position model. The record is from RNAcentral.